CCCACAUCGGGAAGCUAACAUAAGAGUGGAUGCGAAGCUGGCUUUAAAUAGAGAGAACCAUGAGGAGAGUAAAGGUACCUUUCUUGGCUGAUCCCUUUCGUUGUAUGGCGUGCUCGUUUGGGUUGGGCGUCGGCUAAGAGUGCUCAGAGCGUGGAUUAACUCCAGUCUCCUAUCAGGUGCGUAUUUCUCACUACUCUAGCUGUAGGAUGGCUACUUCGGGCGGCGAUGGGCCGAAAGGGGUCAUGUGGGCCCAAUGGGCCUACGGGCCCAAUUGGAUAAGUUUGUUUGAUUGUGUAGUAAAUAUUGGACUAAGCUAGGUGAAUCUCAUAUUUGUGGCUAGAUUUGGGCUAAAAGGGCCACACGAGCGUGUGGGCCCAUUUAGGUCGAGAAUAGGCUUUAGGCCCAUUCGUAUUGUUAUCUCUGUUUAGAAUACUUUAGUUUACCAAAUUACUAAAAUGUCCUCAAUUUGUAAAAUUAUCAAAGUACCCUCGAUUUACAGAAUUACCGUUUUAUCCUCGAUUUACAAAAUUAUCAUUUUACCCUUGAUUUAUAGAAUUACCAUUUUACCCUUAAUUUAUAGAAUUAUCAUUUUUCCCUCGAUUUAUAGAAUUACUAUUUUACCCUCGAUUUACAAAAUUACUAAAAUACCCUUGGUUUACAAAAUUACCAAAAUACCCCUAGUUUGUAAAAUUACCAAAAUACCACUAGUUUGUGAAAUUACCGAAAUACCCUCAAUUUGUAAAAUUACCAAAAUACCCCUAAUUUACAAAAUUACAAAAAUACCCUUGAAUUUCUAAAAAUUAUAGAAAUACCAUUGGUUUACAAAAUUAUUGAAAUACCCUUGGUUUGUAGAUUUACCAAAACACCCUUGUAGGAUGAAAUAACUAAAAAUACCCCUAAUAGGUAAAAAGACCGUAAAGCCCCUGUAGGGUAAAGUGACCGUAAUACCCCUGUAUGGUAAAAUGAUGAAUAUGCCCUUAUGUUCCGUAUGACUGAUGUGCUUAGGAUUUACAUAUAUUGAUAUUGGAUUAGUUAAGUUUGAGUGAUAGGUGGUGGUUAUCGUAGGUGAUUGAUUUUGGAAACGUUUCAACUUCAACCCAUAACAGGUGUGUAAUAACCCUCGCAGUAACUUAGAUUAAUAUUCGCCGAAAAGCAGAAAUGCUAAAAUUCUGACAUUUCGGGAACUUGUGAUUUUGCCUUGGCUUAAAGAUGCGAUACAUACAAUAUGAUCGGUGUUUGGAUCGAUGGAGCAGGCAAGAGCGCAAUUUUGUGCACAAUGGUAAGUUGGGCCUCAAUGGGCUGGAAUCGGGCCCAAUGGGCUUUCGGGCCCAUUUCGGUAAAACUGAUAGAAAAUGGAAUCUGGAAAAGUUGCAUGUUAACACGGUUAGUACUAUUGUAAAAUUUGGAUUAAGCAAGCUUAGUGGGCUAAAUCAGCAUUCGUAGGGCCCAUUUGGGGUUUUGGGCCCAAAAGCCCAUAUUUGAUUAAGUGGGUUAAAGAUCAUUGUUUAAACACUCAAAAAUAUUGAUAAUUGUUAAUGAACAUGGAAAACCCUGAUAUUUGGUAAAAUUACUAAAUUACCCUUAUAACAUGGAAAAUGACUAUUUUGCCCUUGUGGGCAAAUGACUGACUUGGACUGUGUGGUUGAUGGAUUUGAUUGUGAAUAUAUGUUGGUGAUAUGAAUGGCUUGGCUAUGAUUGUUUGAUUCAAAUAUGGGCAUGACAUUCUGUAUACAUGACAUGUUGCAUGGGUUGGGUUUUAUAAAUGGAGGAAGUGCUAAAAGGGCUAUGCCCCAGUUUACCGAAAAGGGCUUUUCCCUAGUUUAUCAAAAAGGGCUUUGCCCCAGUAAUUAAAAGAGGCUAGGCCUCCAGUUAUAUGAUAAAGCAGUUAUGCUGCUAGUGGAGAGUUUGGUUGGGUGGGUUGAGUUAUUCCCCACAUGGUGUGUUGGUUGGUACGGGUGGAGAGUAGCGGAUGGUGGGUUGAGUAGUCUCCCCAAACGGGCUUGCAUACAUUCAUUGAUAUUACAUGUGAUAUUGAAAUGGGCCUAUGGGCCAUACCGCUUACAGUAAAGGCUUCGGCCAGUGAUAUGAUUUAUGAAAAGGCUUCGGCCUAGUGAUAUGAUUUAUGAAAAGGCUUCGGCCCAGUAUAUGUCGAGACUGAAUUAGGGCUUAGGCCCAUAUUGCUACUGUUUAAGGGCUAAGGCCCAGACUGUACUAUUACUGAAUAGGGCUUUGGCCCAGAUUGUACUGACACUGUGUUAUUCACUGUUUUUUUAUUGUUGGGGAUUACAUACUGAGUUUUCGUAAACUCACCCCAUUUCUAACUAUGUAGGUAAUCCCUAAGCUUAGAUGGUUUGGAGCUGUGAGGGACUCGGAGAUGGCCACACUACUGUUUCUGUUUCUUUUAAUUGCAAUAAGUAACCAAUUUAUUUUUUUAUAUAAGUUUUAUAUUAAUUAAUAUUAUUAUUUCGUUUUGGGUUGUAAUAAGGCCAUUUUAAUUAUUUUUCUGGGAUUAUUUUAUUUUAUACCCUAUAUUUUACUGAUAACAAACCAAAAUGGGUUAGACUUAGGGCGCAUUUCCAAAAUGAUAAUUAUUUUCAAAAUAACGCAACGAUACAAUUAAUCAGUUUAUCAAAAAUAUCUACUUAAAUGAAUUCCAACUCGUUUUUCUCAAAACCUAACCUCACACCAAAGUGUGGCAAUGGUUGUGGGCAUGUCUAGGAUUGUAUCCAAUCAAGAGCUUGGUACUUAAGCAGCCUUCAUGGCUCAUCUCCUCUGUUUCAGAUACCUACCUGGUGCACAGCUUCCAUUCACUUUAUUAACUUAGCAAAGACUAUCUUUUAAAACACUAAGAAGCACGUUGAAAGAGGCAUGGUAUUCUUAAAAACUUCAAUGUGACACGUCGGAUCUGGCCAUAACAUCUGGGCCAGGUUUGGGGUGUUACAUUUAGUGGUAUCAGAGCCAGGUUACAAAACUUGGCUCUGGUAUGGGUAGCAGAAAAUUAUUGUUAUUUUUUUAUGUUCUUUCUUUUUUCGAAAUUGGGGUUUGAAAAGGGUUUUUCUAAAAAAAAUUUUGAAAUUUAUCAACGAAACUUGACUUGUUUCUGAAAAGAUGUUGCUGGAAGUGUGGCACAACGAGUCUCCGGCACCAAUUCUAUAAGUUCUCUAACUCUGUUUACUGUUAUAGAUUGAAAUGCUAUAUUGAGAAACCACUAUAGAUAGUAGCAUUAUACUGAAACUUUCUAGUUAGAGUAAACUGUAACGCUUGAAUUUAGAUUUAGUAUUUAUUUGGUGUGUGUUCUGGAAAUGUAGAAUUGGUUGCCUGUGAAAUCUAUCCGCUCCGAUGGAUAAAUGUUUUGGGUGUAUGUUAGUAUUAUUAGUAUCAGAGUGCGCAGCGGAAGUGUGGUGGUGUAGUCUAAGAGUGGAAAAUUUCAAGGACGAAAUUUCUUUAAGGGGGUAGAAUUGUAACACCUCGAAUUUGGGCCUAAAAGUAUUGGGCCUUGAGUGGGGGUUCAUAAGGAGGUUGAAUAUUGGUAUUUAAUUGUGCAAUGAAAUGAAACAAUUAAAUGUUUGCUUUAGUGGUUAAUGGCUUUGAGAAGUGUUGGAGAAAUUUUGGGUUCAAACUUGGGCUUUAGCAAAAAUUUUGGUAUUAAGUGAAAAAAAAACCUGGAUGCUUGGAUGAGGGCCUUUUAAAUUAUUGUGUUAAAUAAAUGACAGAAGGAGCAAUGUGGUCUAGUGGAAGUGGCGUAAUUAAGGUUGUAUGGGAGCCUGGGUUCAAGCCUUGGCUCUUGCAAUUUAUUCUGUUUUUUUUAAGGGAACCUGGACUUUGGCCUUUAGACCUUAUAAUUAAUUGGGGAUAAAAUAUGACACAAAAAGAGCCUGUGGUGAAGUGGCAAACUGGCAUCAUAGAGUUGGCAAGGAGGUCCAGGGUUCGAAACUCAUGGCAAUCAAAGAGCAUUUAUUUUGCUAACAGGGGGCGGCAAGAGUUGGUGUUGAAUUUAAACUCUGAUAAUCGAAGGAUCCCACAUCGGGAAGUUAACAUAAGAGUGGAUGCGAAGCUGGCUUUAAAUAGAGAGAACCAUGAGGAGAGUAAAGGUACCUUUCUUGGCUAAUCCCUUUCGUUGUAUGGCGUGCUCGUUUGGGUUGGGCGUCGGCUAAGAGUGCUCAGAGCGUGGAUUAACUCCAGUCUCCUAUCAAGUGUGUAUUUCUCACUACUCUAGCUGUAGGAUGGCUACUUCGGGCGGCGAUGGGCCGAAAGGGGUCAUGUGGGCCCAAUGGGCCUACGGGCCCAAUUGGAUAAGUUUGUUUGAUUGUGUAGUAAAUAUUGGACUAAGCUAGGUGAAUCUCAUAUUUAUGGCUAGAUUUGGGCUAAAAGGGCCACACGAGCGUGUGGGCCCAUUUGGGCCUAGAAUAGGCUUUAGGCCCAUUCGUAUUGUUAUCCCUGUUUAGAAUACUUUAGUUUACCAAAUUACUAAAAUGUCCUCAAUUUAUAAAAUUACCAAAGUACCCUCGAUUUACAAAAUUACUGUUUUACCCUCGAUUUACAGAAUUACUGUUUUACCCUCGAUUUAUAGAAUUACCAUUUUACCCUCAAUUUAUAGAAUUACCGUUUUACCCUUGAUUUACAAAAUUACCGUUUUACCCUCGAUUUACAGAAUUAUCGUUUUACCCUCGAUUUACAAAAUUACUAAAAUACCGUUGGUUUACAAAAUUACCAAAAUACCCCUAGUUUGUAAAAUUACCAAAAUACCACUGGUUUGUGAAAUUACCGAAAUACCCUCAAUUUGUAAAAUUACCAAAAUACCCCUAAUUUACAAAAUUACAAAAAUACCCUUGACUUUCUAAAAAUUAUAGAAAUACCAUUGGUUUACAAAAUUACUGAAAUACUCUUGGUUUGUAGAUUUACCAAAACACCCUUGUAGGAUGAAAUGACUAAAAUACCCCUAAUAGGUAAAAAGACCGUAAAGCCCCUAUAUGGUAAAGUGACCGUAAUACCCCUGUAUGGUAAAAUGACGAAUAUGCCCUUAUGUUCUGUAUGAUUGAUGUGCUUAGGAUUUACAUAUAUUGAUAUUGGAUUUAUUAAGUUUGAGUGAUAGGUGAUGGUUAUCAUAGGUGAUUGAUUUUGGAAACGUUUCAACUUCAACCCAUAACAGGUGUGUAAUAACCCUUGCAGUAGCUUAGAUUAAUAUUCGCCGAAAAGCAGAAAUGCUAAAAUUCCAGCAUUUCAAGAAUUUGUGAUUUUGCCUUUGCUUAAAGAUGUGAUAGAUACGAUAUGAUCGGUGUUUGGAUCGAUGGAGCAGGUAAGAGCGCAAUUUUGUGCACGAUGGUAAGUUGGGCCUCAAUGGGUUGGAAACGGACCCAAUAGGCUUUCGGGCCCAUUUGGGUAAAAAUGAUAGAAAAUGGAAUCUGGAAAAGUUGCAUGUUAACACGGUUAGUACUGUUGUAAAAUUUGGAUUAAGCAGGCUUAGUGGGCUAAAUCAACAUUCGUAGGGCCCAUCAGGGGUUUUGGGCCCAAAAGCCCGAAUUUGUUAAAGUGGGUUAAAGAUUAUUGUUUAAACACUUGGAAAUAUUGAUAAUUGUUAAUGAACAUAGAAAACCCUGAUAUUUGGUAAAAUUACGAAAUUACCCUUAUAAUAUGAAAAAUGACUAUUUUGCCCUUGUGGGCAAAUGACUGACUUGGAUUGUGUGGUUGAUGGAUUUGAUUGUGAAUAUAUGUUGGUGAUAUGAAUGGCUUGCCUGUGAUUGUUUGAUUCAAAUAUGGGCAUGACAUUUUGCAUACAUGACAUGUUGCAUGGGUUGGGUUUUAUAAAUGAAGGAAGUGCUAAAAGGGCUAUGCCCCAGUUUACCGAAAAGGGCUUUGCCCCAGUUUAUCAAAAAGAGCUUUGCCCCAGUUAUUAAAAGAGGCUAGGCCUCCAAUUAUAUGAUAAAACAGCUAUGCUACCAGUGGAGAGUUUGGUUGGGUGGGUUGAGUUAUUCCCCACAUGGUGUGUUGGUUGGUACAGGUGGAGAGUAGCAGAUGGUGGGUUGAGUAGUCUCCCCAAAUGGGCUUGCAUACAUUCAUUGAUAUUACAUGUGAUAUUGGAAUGGGCCUAUGGGCCAUACCGCUUACAGUAAAGGCUUCGGCCAGUGAUAUGAUUUAUGAAAAGGCUUCGGCCCAGUAUAUGUCAAGACUAAAUUAGGGCUUAGGCCCAUAUUGCUACUGUUGUUGGGGAUUACACACUGAGUUUUCAUAAACUCACCCCGUUUCUAACUGUGCAGGUAAUCCCUAAGCUUAGAUGGUUUGGAGCUGCGAGGGACUCGGAAAUGGC
Molecule: long non-coding RNA, 6304 nt
Filed under: Gossypium barbadense (sea-island cotton)
Lineage: Eukaryota; Viridiplantae; Streptophyta; Magnoliopsida; Malvales; Malvaceae
Description: long non-coding RNA (GBAR_LNC002143)
Source: RNAcentral